CAAGUCGAGCGAACGGACGAGAAGCUUGCCUCUCUGAUGUUAGCGGCGGACGGGUGAGUAACACGUGGAUAACCUACCUAUAAGACUGGGAUAACUUCGGGAAACCGGAGCUAAUACCGGAUAAUAUUUUGAACCGCAUGGUUCAAAAGUGAAAGACGGUCUUGCUGUCACUUAUAGAUGGAUCCGCGCUGCAUUAGCUAGUUGGUAAGGUAACGGCUUACCAAGGCAACGAUGCAUAGCCGACCUGAGAGGGUGAUCGGCCACACUGGAACUGAGACACGGUCCAGACUCCUACGGGAGGCAGCAGUAGGGAAUCUUCCGCAAUGGGCGAAAGCCUGACGGAGCAACGCCGCGUGAGUGAUGAAGGUCUUCGGAUCGUAAAACUCUGUUAUUAGGGAAGAACAUAUGUGUAAGUAACUGUGCACAUCUUGACGGUACCUAAUCAGAAAGCCACGGCUAACUACGUGCCAGCAGCCGCGGUAAUACGUAGGUGGCAAGCGUUAUCCGGAAUUAUUGGGCGUAAAGCGCGCGUAGGCGGUUUUUUAAGUCUGAUGUGAAAGCCCACGGCUCAACCGUGGAGGGUCAUUGGAAACUGGAAAACUUGAGUGCAGAAGAGGAAAGUGGAAUUCCAUGUGUAGCGGUGAAAUGCGCAGAGAUAUGGAGGAACACCAGUGGCGAAGGCGACUUUCUGGUCUGUAACUGACGCUGAUGUGCGAA
Molecule: ribosomal RNA, 717 nt
Filed under: uncultured Staphylococcus sp.
Lineage: Bacteria; Bacillati; Bacillota; Bacilli; Caryophanales; Staphylococcaceae
Description: bacterial SSU rRNA
Rfam family: Bacterial small subunit ribosomal RNA
Source: RNAcentral